RNAcentral lists this unclassified non-coding RNA (223 nucleotides) under uncultured Fusobacterium sp. Its description in RNAcentral is "partial contains 16S ribosomal RNA, 16S-23S ribosomal RNA intergenic spacer, and 23S ribosomal RNA". The record is from RNAcentral. Lineage: Bacteria; Fusobacteriati; Fusobacteriota; Fusobacteriia; Fusobacteriales; Fusobacteriaceae.
CUGGAUCACCUCCUUUCUAUGGAGAUCAUUUCUCUUUCUCUAUUCUAUUGAUAAUGUUCUUACAGCGUAUUAAGCGCUGGAUAACUUAUCAAAUGGACAUUGGAAACUAUAUAGUAGAUUAAAUACAAUUUUAACUCUUGUUUAUAUAAACAGAGUUAGCUGUCAAUCAAAUUAAACAAAAACAAAAUAGGUUAAAAUAAUUAAGGGCGCAUGGUGGAUGCCU